CUUAAAAUUUAGUAGGGUGCACCUACGUGAACCAGAGAAAAUUACGUCAAUUUAGACAGCAACAUCAGUGCUAAUGACAUUCGAAUAAAAAAAUCAUGGGUCACGUUGGCGCAGGCAUUUAAAAACUAAACUAGAGGCUCUAAAGAGCCUGUGUCGCUCACCUUGGUCUAUGUGAAUAUCAAACAAUGGACACAGAUGGAUUCAUGACAAAAUUGUGUUUUGGUGAUGGUGAUGUGUUUGUAGAUCUUACUUUACUAAACAUUCUUGCUGCUUACAAUUAUCUCUAUCUAUAACAGUACUUUCUGUGGAAAAAGUUAUUGAAAAUCUUCAAAUUUUAAGAAAAUUGUUAAAAAUUGACUAUGAAGGGCAAUAACUCCUUAGGGGGUCAAUUGACUAUUUUGGUCAUACUGACUUAUUUUUAGUUCUUACUUUGCUGUACAUUAUUGCUGUUUACAGUUUAUCUCUAUCUAUAAUAAUAUUCAAGAU
This 486-nucleotide long non-coding RNA is filed under the name Mytilus galloprovincialis (Mediterranean mussel). The record is from RNAcentral. Lineage: Eukaryota; Metazoa; Mollusca; Bivalvia; Mytilida; Mytilidae.